GGCCGGGUAGCUCAGUUGGUUAGAGUGUUGUCCUGAUACGCCAAGGUUAUGGGUUAGCUCCCCGGUCA
This 68-nucleotide transfer RNA is filed under the name Myotis brandtii (Brandt's bat). It matches the Rfam family "tRNA". Rfam says of the family: Transfer RNA (tRNA) molecules are approximately 80 nucleotides in length. Their secondary structure includes four short double-helical elements and three loops (D, anti-codon, and T loops). Lineage: Eukaryota; Metazoa; Chordata; Mammalia; Chiroptera; Vespertilionidae. The record is from Rfam by way of RNAcentral.